GGGAUGUAGCUCAGUUGGCUAGAGUGCUUGACUGGCAGUCAAGAGGUCGUGGGUUCGAAUCCCAUCUUCUCC
Molecule: transfer RNA, 72 nt
Filed under: Leeuwenhoekiella marinoflava
Lineage: Bacteria; Pseudomonadati; Bacteroidota; Flavobacteriia; Flavobacteriales; Flavobacteriaceae
Also listed under: 8 other names
Rfam family: tRNA
About the family: Transfer RNA (tRNA) molecules are approximately 80 nucleotides in length.
Source: RNAcentral